UACAGAGGUCUCAAGCGUUGUUCGGAUUCAUUGGGCGUAAAGGGUGCGUAGGUGGCGUGGUAAGUCGGAUGUGAAAUCUCGGGGCUCAACCCCGGAACUGCAUUCGAUACUGCUGCGCUAGAGUACUGGAGAGGAGAUUGGAAUUUACGGUGUAGCAGUGAAAUGCGUAGAUAUCAGAAGGAACGCCGGUGGCGAAAGCGACGCACUGGAUCACAACUGACGCUGAGGCACGAAAGCUAGGGGAGCAAACAGG
RNAcentral lists this ribosomal RNA (253 nucleotides) under uncultured bacterium. RNAcentral describes it as "partial 16S ribosomal RNA". It matches the Rfam family "Bacterial small subunit ribosomal RNA", at positions 524 to 776 of the family's 1533-position model. The record is from RNAcentral.